CACGGCUUCGAUCGACAAAUGCCGUUUGCUAGCUGGUGGUUUCUUCUCCUUUCAGGGCACCUAGAAGCGACAAUGCUGCAGGUAUGGAUUGGAUCUAAAAGCAUAAAUAGCUGCCUUCUGUGCCAAUUAGCACCGCCUGCUUCGCAAUGUCCAACAUUUGUUGCCAUUAACUAUAUGCUAUUUUGACAUUCCCUUUUGUAUGACAUUUUUUAUAUUAAAAAGAAGGGGAGCCUUGAUAGGCACUAUACAUAGAUAAAAAAUAGCAGCCACAACAGGAGAAACAAAGUUUUCACAGGCCAAAACAAAGAAACAUCACACAUGAAAAAUUGUACGAGCGUAAAAAACUCAAAACACUAGAGUAAUUCAUUAAGGUGCUUUUCUUCCGCUGUGACCCACAUGCAUGUCUUAUCUUUAAUCUUUUGUAGCACUCUCACAUUUGUCGACUCUUCGUGCUCGAAGACCCCUACAUUCUUUUUCGUCCAAAUUUCCCAACAAACAACCAUGAUCUGUGAGCGUAAACCUUUCUUGGACACACUGUAUGUCUGAUCCAAAACUGUCCACCAUUUGUGGACCUGGAUCAUGUCACUGUAUGCCCAGUUGUUUGGGCAUAGUUCGUCAUUUCCAGUCCAAGUCACGAGCUCCAUCCAUAAUCACAGUAAAUAUGCAUUUUUUGAAAAUAUGGAUGCCCGUCUCAUGCGCCUGACGACUAAGAAUGCAAUUGUGCUCAUUGUCCAUCCUUGACUCUGUAGUCUAUCAGAAGCGCAAAUUAUAUUUUGGAUUGCAAGCCAAUUGAAAAGCUUGCAUUUUGGUGGCGCCCAGGUUUUCCAAUUCAGUCACGAGAUUAGUUUCCACCGUCCCUCGGAAUUGUGCUCUGUAUGCUGACCCAGUGGUGUGCUGUGCAUGUUUUGUUAGCUUCCAAACUAUGGAGUUUAGCAUGCUUUGUUGAAAAUCCAUACGGUUAACGUCAUGCUUCAUGUGGGUGAAUUCUACCAAGUGUUGGACUUUGAAUCCUCCAUUUUGAAGAUUGACGUCACAUAUCCAAUUGCUGUUCUGGAGAGCCGAAUAUAAUGUCCUGUUUAUUUUGGAGAUCAUGAAAAGGCUGAGUGCAAAGUUGCAAGGUUGUUAUCCUUGCACCCAUGCUCUGUGCCAGAAUGAAAUUUUCCUACCAUCAUCAAUAUUUGCAGAAGUUGCAGCUGCGAAGAGAAGCUUAUCAGUUUUAUCAUCAAGAACCGAUUUCACAAGGGUCAGGCGUCCUGCUAGAUUUACUUGUAAGUUUGUCUAUCGCUUUGUCAACCAAAGGCUGGAAAUCAACAUGUUGAGGUAGCUUAGUGGUAAGUGGUAGCACGAGGUCAGAUCGUGGGAUGGAAGUUGAAGGCAUUCACAGUUGAUGUCCAAUUGACGCAUUGGAGGGCGGCUCAUGAUGCAUGUAAGUGAUCUUGAGUUAUAUUUGCUUUGUGCUCAUAAUUAACUGCCCAUCAUUGUUCUGGCGCAAGCAUUCAAUGUGGUUCUUUCUUCUUGCAUUCACUUCAUACAGUAAACUUUCAGUAGCUUCCAUGCUAUAUAUUAUGCAUCUUUAAAUGUUCCAGCAACCUCUCUUAUCUUUAGUAGUCGAGUUUUAGUCUGGCAGCCCCAUUUUACUAGAGAAAUUAAGGUAAUUGUGUGUCUGGGUAAUCUACAUGAACAUCUAAUCAUGAAAUCAACUAUGGGUUGUUUGGGAAUGCCUCUGGUCUGGUGUUUGGACGUCGUUGUGGGGAUCGUCUCCACUAAUCUUCAAUUUCUAACUUUUUGUGCUUUAGGCUUUCCUCUUCUUCGGCCUACUGAAGCAGGUAAAGGUGCUUUUUCUAGAGCAACUUUUGAUCUUCCCAUCAGUGAGGUCAGUCGUCCUCUACAAAUUGUAGUUUUUAUCCCUGCUAUCAAAGGUUUAACAUGCCUUGUUAUGUCAUGAAUUAUUAUCACAUUGUAAUUUGACAUGACCUUUGAUUAGUGUAUGUUGUCUUACCAUGUGCCAACUGCCAGCAGCAGCAUCAAAGAACAAUAUUGAUUUUCUUGCUCUAAGAUUCCAUUCGGUUGUAAAUCAAGUCCUAAGGCAAGAUUGUAGUCAUUCCUUGAUAAAUAAUAGUUACACUUAUAUGCUACUUGAAAUGGCAAAUCAUUGGGGCAUGUAUGUUCAUAUUUGUUUAUCUGAUUUGCCAGUACUUCUACUAAACUAAAUUGGGGUAUGUUAUAGUAUGCAUAAUCGUUAUAUUCUACAUUCUCUUGAUGACAACUGUCUAUGAAUGCUUAUUUGCAUUUGCUUCCAGUAAAAGAAAUAUUGAAUGAAAAAAACAGUUGUUGGCAUCUUCUAUUACUGUUGUAUAUGCUCUUAGCCAUUAACAAAAUGGCACACCAUGUCUUCUUCCAGAGCAAGAGUGAUGCACUGCCCUGAACUAACCGAUGUCUUCCUAUGCCAUAAAAGUGUAUUUAGAAAUUACUAACCUAUUAGGUUUUGUUUGGUUGUGGAUUUCGGACGGUAACACAAAUGUUAUCUAAUAACGCUGUAAAAAUAGAAAAGAAGCAAACCAUUACUUUGAUUGUUUGGUUCAAAUCAUCUAUAUCAUGGUAUUCCAUCACUCUCUGAUUGGAGGGGUAUUGGAUAACGCUCCAUUUUCUAUAAGUCAGGUUAAAAGAUUACAUUGUGCCUCAAACAAACAUGAUACAAUGUAAUCAGUUGUCGCUAUAAUUAAAUAACGUUACGUUUCACUGAACCAAACAACAUCUUAGUUUAGUUAAUUACCUUCAUUUCAUUGAUGUUGUUUUCUUUCUCUUCAUUUUAUUAAUUUCCUUUCAAAUUGCAUCCCAUCGGUUGAUUCUUGAUUUGUUGCUUUUGUGAACAAGCUUUGUGACUUAUUUUGGAUUUGAGUAGCACAAUCAUAACAUUGCUGCCACACCAGAACUCUUUAAUUCUUCAUGCUUUUACGGAUCUGGUUUGUUCAUAUGUCCGAGUGAAUCUUCUUUUAUCUAGCAAGAUGCCAAGAAAGAUGAUCAUCUAGAUUUACAACAUCCUUCAUGUAAUGCUAAAGGAUAAUUGUGAUGGUGGGUUUUAGCACCAUUAUGGGUGCUACUUUAGAGAAUAAAAGUUUUAGCAGUGAUUCAGGUGAUGGAGGCAAUAAGGUUGUCGGUUCUGCAGGAGGGACAUCAAAGUAGCACCCAAAAAAUGGGAAGGAGCCCAUUCACUGGCACAACAAGUGUGACAUCACUAUCUUUGCUCAUCUAAAGCUUGCAUUUUAUUUAUGAUCAAGUUUAUGGAGAUAAACACAUUCAAGUGUGGGAGUUGACUGUUGGUGGAUAUAACAGAGGGUUUUAUACUUCAUUCUAUUGAUCUAUUCUAUGAACAUGAAUAAUAUAUGAAGGCAAAUAGUUUCCCUUUUUAUUUAUUUUACCUUGUGUAUGCCAUGUGUCCACACAAGUGAGCC
This is a long non-coding RNA of Zea mays, 3452 nucleotides long. RefSeq lists it as uncharacterized. The transcript has 3 exons. NCBI's taxonomy places the organism in Eukaryota, Viridiplantae, Streptophyta, Magnoliopsida, Poales, Poaceae. The record is from RefSeq and is a predicted model, not a curated record.